UACAGAGGUCUCAAGCGUUGUUCGGAUUCAUUGGGCGUAAAGGGUGCGUAGGCGGCGCGGUAAGUCGGGUGUGAAAUCUCGGGGCUUAACUCCGAAACUGCAUUCGAUACUGCGGUGCUUGAGGACUGGAGAGGAGACUGGAAUUCAUGGUGUAGCAGUGAAAUGCGUAGAGAUCAUGAGGAAGACCAGUGGCGAAGGCGGGUCUCUGGGCCGAUACUGACGCUGAGGAGCGAAAGCGUGGGGAGCGAACAGG
RNAcentral lists this ribosomal RNA (253 nucleotides) under uncultured bacterium. Its description in RNAcentral is "partial 16S ribosomal RNA". It matches the Rfam family "Bacterial small subunit ribosomal RNA", at positions 524 to 776 of the family's 1533-position model. The record is from RNAcentral.